CACACUUUUUUUUUUUUUUUUUUUACUUUUUCUGAACAUUAAACAAGAAAUAACCAAAACAAAACUUUUUCCAGCAGGCUUUAAAGAAAAAAAAAAGUGACAAACAAUAACUGAGAGUGAAACAAAAAAUAAAUAAGUACUAUAAAUAUGUCAAAAAUAUAACUUCUAUGAUACAAAAUAAUAUAUAUAUAUAUAUAUAAAAUGUGUUUAAAAAUGAACAAUGUACACUGUUUUCUUAUUAAAGCUUCUGAACAUUGAAACUCUCAAGCAAAAUUAUUUUUUUUCAGUGAAUAACGAAAAAAAAAUAAUGAAAACUUACUUUACAGUUUAUACUCCAUCAACUUUGUUAUAAAAUGAACAAAGCUGAACAAUUAAGAACAUUACUGCUACAGAUUAGAAGGCAGUCUAAGCUGACCCAAUGAAAAAGAAAGAAACAGAGAUAUGACAGCUUAGACUUUUUGUGUAUUUACAGCUGGUUAGAACCUCAUUGUUCAAAAACACUGACCUGUGACAAGGACAAUGAGAAAAGUUUGGCUCAAAAGUUAGUCACAUUUACAGUAAAGAUCCUUAAAUUGUGUGAUUUAUAGAAAUUAGAUUAUUUAUCUACUGCAUUUGAUUAUUACAAAAUGCCUUAAUGGGAAGGUAACUCAUUCGGAUUCCAAAUGUUAAAGUUACAAGGAAAGUUUGUAUGUAGUAGUCCUAGCAUAUUAGAUAAUGAAAUGAAAGACAUGUAAAUAAUAAUAAAAUAAGUCUUUCUAUAUUAAACUAAAACAAGUUACAGCAUUGGCAUAAAUAUUUUUAAAAUUCAGCAGUGUUCCAAUAUUAAAAUAUUACGUAUUUAGAAUGGCUUCAAUUGAUUAGCAAACCAAAUCGAUUCUGUACAUGAGCAGAAAUAAUAUCCCACACUGAAAAUGUAGCGCUUUGUGAAAGGUCUGCCCCUAAGAAUGGUACUUUUACCCCCCAUUCUGUCCAGAAACAUUGGCAGAUCAAGACAGCCAAGAUUAAGAUUUUGGCUUCAAUAAAUAAAGUUCUAUUUUUAUUUGCCAAGAAAAAUUUAGCUCUGAGCUGAGGAAAAAAAAACUUACUUAAAAUAUUUAGGCAUACCGGUAUUAGAUUUUUAAAAAACGUCAGAAAAAAAAAAUCUCAAUUUCAAGCCAAGGAAAACAAAACUAAUUCUACAUAAUAGCAGUGGGUUUUUUUCUGACUAUAAAAUGCAUUGACAGUAGUUAAGGUUUAAUGGAACUCAAAUAAUAAAAGAUGUACGUAGCACGAUCAGUCAUCUUCAUUGUAUCAGAUUUAUAUCAGAUGUGAGAACCACUGAUUGAAACAUUCCUAUUAUGCUGAGUUUUCUUUUUUUUUUAAGUUUCUUGUUUUAUUCUCAGGCCAUUUCACAUGGUAAUGCCAUUUCUAAAAACUGAGAAAACAAAAUGGAAUGUCGGAAAGCUAAUACAAUGACUAGGAUGCAUUAGUUCUGUCGGUGAGAACAAGACAAAUGUAUGCAAGCAGCAUUACUAGAUUUAUAUACACAAUAGAAAGAUAAUAACUCAUUUAUAAAUUGCGAAUGAUAAUGUUGGUGAUGUAUAUCUUUUUUUAAAAAUUUUUUUUAAACUGUACUGUCUGUAAAUAAGUAUUUAUUUAUACAAAACAUUUAAUAUAUUUCUAAUGUCUCUACUGAGGUACAAAUGAAAACAAACAAAAACUCUCCCAUACUGUUUCAAGAUUUUCUCUCAGUCAACUAAAAUUCCAGGAUAGAAAGACUAUGUUUUGGUUUGGAUUUCCAAUAACCACUAAAAAGAAAAAAGAAAGAAAUUACAGAAAACACUUCAUAGCACCAUAUUUUCAUGCUUAUAACCUGCACACAUGUAUACCCAACACAAAUUACUCAAUAAGCAAAAACAAAAUCAUAUAACCCGCAUGUGCAAAGCGUGACUUGCCGUAAAUUACACGCACAUUAAGUUGUUACUCAUCAAAUCUGUCUCUUGAAAUGCAAUCGCGCUUCAGCUGUUUCUCUAACAUAUGAUGAAACGUGUGAAAUACGAGCCUAUGUACACAGUGAACUAUAAAAAGCAUAAAUUCCCACCGGUAUGUCCGUAGUUUUCAUCAUGCUAUGUUUAUGAUGAGUUAAAUAAAUUUUGUAUACCCCCCCCCCCC
Non-coding RNA from Biomphalaria pfeifferi, 2151 nucleotides. Lineage: Eukaryota; Metazoa; Mollusca; Gastropoda; Planorbidae. The record is from the annotation of a GenBank genome assembly.